UGAGGAAUAUUGGUCAAUGGACGCAAGGCUGAACCAGCCAAGUUGCGUGCAGGAUGACUGCCCUAUGGGUUGUAAACUGCUUUUAUAUGGGGAUAAAGUGGGGAACGUGUUCCCUUUCGCAGGUAUCAUAUGAAUAAGGACCGGCUAAUUGCGUGCCAGCAGCCGCGGUAAUACGGAAGGUUCGGGCGUUAUCCGGAUUUAUUGAGUUUAAAGGGAGCGUAGGCCGUUUGGUAAGAGUGUUGUGAAAUGUAGGAGCUCAACUUCUAGAUUGCAGCGCGAACUGUCAGACUUGAGUGCGCACAACGUAGGCGGAAUUCAUGGUGUAGCUGUAAAAUGCUUAGAUAUCAUGAAGAACUCCGAUUGCUAAGGCAGCUUACGGGAUCGCAACUGACGCUGAAGCUCGAAGGUGCGGGUAUCGAACAGG
RNAcentral lists this ribosomal RNA (424 nucleotides) under Verrucomicrobiota bacterium. RNAcentral's name for it is "Verrucomicrobia bacterium partial 16S ribosomal RNA". It matches the Rfam family "Bacterial small subunit ribosomal RNA", at positions 355 to 776 of the family's 1533-position model. Lineage: Bacteria; Pseudomonadati; Verrucomicrobiota. The record is from RNAcentral.